Cebus imitator (Panamanian white-faced capuchin) is the source of this 564-nucleotide long non-coding RNA. RefSeq lists it as uncharacterized. The transcript has 2 exons. NCBI's taxonomy places the organism in Eukaryota, Metazoa, Chordata, Mammalia, Primates, Cebidae. The record is from RefSeq and is a predicted model, not a curated record.
CUGAUUUUCUCCAAUUCUUCCUGUGCAUUUGUGGUUUUCUACAGAAGCCCUCUAGCCAAGGCCUCAGGCAGUCCUACCAGAUGAAUAUGGGCCCUUGAGUUUUCUAGGAGGUCUAUUCUGCCGCCCUGGGUCUCAUCCAACUGAUAUCCAUCUAAACAUUCCCACCCAGGGUUAUUUAUGCUAGAGGAGGAAGAAUGCCCUUUCCAGAGCCAGUUCUUGGGGAAAAGAGGAACUGUUGAUAUAACCAGAGCCGGAAAAGAAGAUUACACUGUAACAGCUAAAGGCAGUGGGAAGAAACCACUAAGAAGCUGAAGGCAAAAGCUGUUGCUGAGAGAAAUAGUAAUUCAGGGAGGAAGAGAAGAAGAAACAUGAACAAGAGCUCAGGAAGAGGAGAGGGCACUUCUUUUAAGCUGGGGGUGGAAGGGAAUUAUUUGUUGUGAAGAAAAUUGAAUGAGCAUAAACAAACCUGCAAUGUCGAUAUACGGAGUUGUGUUCCAUCUCCACUGAGAUCAGAUGUCUGCAAGUCUAUAUGUUUAUAAUACUGAAUAUAACAUCAGAAACAAA